CGGACGGGUGAGUAAUGUCUGGGAAACUGCCCGAUGGAGGGGGAUAACUACUGGAAACGGUAGCUAAUACCGCAUAACGUCGCAAGACCAAAGAGGGGACCUUCGGGCCUCUUGCCAUCGGAUGUGCCCAGAUGGGAUUAGCUAGUAGGUGGGGUAACGGCUCACCUAGGCGACGAUCCCUAGCUGGUCUGAGAGGAUGACCAGCCACACUGGAACUGAGACACGGUCCAGGG
Molecule: ribosomal RNA, 233 nt
Filed under: uncultured bacterium
Lineage: Bacteria
Description: partial 16S ribosomal RNA
Rfam family: Bacterial small subunit ribosomal RNA
Source: RNAcentral